AGCUAUUAAUGGCUCGGUGAU
RNAcentral lists this microRNA (21 nucleotides) under Parasteatoda tepidariorum (common house spider). Its description in RNAcentral is "pte-miR-35o-2-5p". Its record names the gene pte-miR-35o-2-5p. Lineage: Eukaryota; Metazoa; Arthropoda; Arachnida; Araneae; Theridiidae. The record is from miRBase by way of RNAcentral.